Molecule: transfer RNA, 73 nt
Filed under: Halamphora calidilacuna
Lineage: Eukaryota; Bacillariophyta; Bacillariophyceae; Naviculales; Amphipleuraceae
Description: tRNA-Lys
Rfam family: tRNA
About the family: Transfer RNA (tRNA) molecules are approximately 80 nucleotides in length. Their secondary structure includes four short double-helical elements and three loops (D, anti-codon, and T loops).
Source: RNAcentral
AAGUAUAUAGCUCAGUCGGUAGAGCACCGGGCUUUUAACCCGAUUGCCCUGGGUUCGAGCCCCAGUGUACUUA